ACGUGUGUGUGCAUGUGCAUGU
RNAcentral lists this microRNA (22 nucleotides) under Callithrix jacchus (white-tufted-ear marmoset). RNAcentral describes it as "cja-miR-466a". Its record names the gene cja-miR-466a. Lineage: Eukaryota; Metazoa; Chordata; Mammalia; Primates; Cebidae. The record is from miRBase by way of RNAcentral. RNAcentral also lists the same sequence under 1 other name.